UUAAGUGACUAAGCGUACAAGGUGGAUGCCUUGGCAAUCAGAGGCGAGGAAGGACGUGCUAAUCUGCGAAAAGCUUGGAUGAGUCGAUAAGAGGCGUUUAAUCCAAGAUGUCCGAAUGGGGAAACCCAGUAGAUGAAGAAUCUACUAUCACUUACUGAAUCCAUAGGUAAGUGAGGCAAACCGGGAGAACUGAAACAUCUAAGUACCCCGAGGAAAAGAAAUCAACCGAGAUUUCGUUAGUAGCGGCGAGCGAACGCGAAGGAGCCUGUUAGUGAUAAUGACAGAGACAGAGGAACAAGCUGGGAAGCUUGGCGAUACAGGGUGAUAGCCCCGUACUCGAAGUCCAGGUCAUGGUACUAAGCUAACGACAAGUAGGGCGGGACACGUGAUAUCCUGUUUGAAGAUGGGGGGACCAUCCUCCAAGGCUAAAUACUCCUGAUUGACCGAUAGUGAACCAGUACUGUGAAGGAAAGGCGAAAAGAACCCCGGUGAGGGGAGUGAAAUAGAACCUGAAACCUUGUACGUACAAGCAGUGGGAGCCCUUUUAAGGGUGACUGCGUACCUUUUGUAUAAUGGGUCAGCGACUUAUAUUUUGUAGCGAGGUUAACCGAAUAGGGGAGCCGAAGGGAAACCGAGUCUUAACUGGGCGUCUAGUUGCAAGGUAUAGACCCGAAACCCGGUGAUCUAGCCAUGGGCAGGUUGAAGGUUGGGUAACACUAACUGGAGGACCGAACCGACUAAUGUUGAAAAAUUAGCGGAUGACUUGUGGCUGGGGGUGAAAGGCCAAUCAAACCGGGAGAUAGCUGGUUCUCCCCGAAAUCUAUUUAGGUAGAGCCUUGAGCGGACACCUUCGGGGGUAGAGCACUGUUUCGGCUAGGGGUCCAUCCCGGAUUACCAACCCGAUGCAAACUACGAAUACCGAAGAGUGAUACUCAGGAGACACACGGCGGGUGCUAACGUCCGUCGUGGAGAGGGAAACAACCCAGACCGCCAGCUAAGGUCCCAAAGUCUAUAUUAAGUGGGAAACGAAGUGGGAAGGCUUAGACAGCUAGGAUGUUGGCUUAGAAGCAGCCAUCAUUUAAAGAAAGCGUAAUAGCUCACUAGUCGAGUCGGCCUGCGCGGAAGAUGUAACGGGGCUCAAAUAUAGCACCGAAGCUGCGGCAUCAGUAGCAAUACUGUUGGGUAGGGGAGCGUUCUGUAAGCGGAUGAAGGUGAAUCGAGAGGUUUGCUGGACGUAUCAGAAGUGCGAAUGCUGACAUAAGUAACGAUAAAACGGGUGAAAAACCCGUUCGCCGGAAGACCAAGGGUUCCUGUCCAACGUUAAUCGGGGCAGGGUGAGUCGGCCCCUAAGGCGAGGCUGAAAAGCGUAGUCGAUGGGAAACGGGUUAAUAUUCCCGUACUUGGAUAAACUGCGAUGUGGGGACGGAGCAGGUUAGGUUAUCGCACUGUUGGAUAUGUGCGUUUAAGUUGGUAGGUGUGAAGUUUAGGCAAAUCCGGACUUCUUUAACACCGAGAGAUGAUGACGAGGCUCUACGGAGCUGAAGUAACCGAUACCACACUUCCAGGAAAAGCCACUAAGCUUCAGGUUUAUCUAAACCGUACUGAAAACCGACACAGGUGGUCAGGUAGAGAAUACUCAGGCGCUUGAGAGAACUCGGGUGAAGGAACUAGGCAAAAUAGCACCGUAACUUCGGGAGAAGGUGCGCCGGCGUAGAUUGUAGUCCCUUGCGGAUGAAGGUUGAACCGGUCGAAGAUACCAGCUGGCUGCAACUGUUUAUUAAAAACACAGCACUCUGCAAACACGAAAGUGGACGUAUAGGGUGUGAUGCCUGCCCGGUGCUGGAAGGUUAAUUGAUGGUGUAAUCGAAAGAGAAGCUCCUGAUCGAAGCCCCAGUAAACGGCGGCCGUAACUAUAACGGUCCUAAGGUAGCGAAAUUCCUUGUCGGGUAAGUUCCGACCUGCACGAAUGGCAUAAUGAUGGCCAGGCUGUCUCCACCCGAGACUCAGUGAAAUUGAAAUCGCCGUGAAGAUGCGGUGUACCCGCGGCUAGACGGAAAGACCCCGUGAACCUUUACUAUAGCUUGACACUGAACAUUGAAUUUUGAUGUGUAGGAUAGGUGGGAGACUUUGAAGCAGUCACGCCAGUGAUUGUGGAGUCGUCCUUGAAAUACCACCCUUUAACGUUUGAUGUUCUAACGAAGAUUACGAAACGUGGUCUCGGACAGUGUCUGGUGGGUAGUUUGACUGGGGCGGUCUCCUCCCAAAGAGUAACG
RNAcentral lists this ribosomal RNA (2273 nucleotides) under human gut metagenome. RNAcentral describes it as "bacterial LSU rRNA". It matches the Rfam family "Bacterial large subunit ribosomal RNA", at positions 1 to 2302 of the family's 2925-position model. The record is from RNAcentral.